RNAcentral lists this ribosomal RNA (291 nucleotides) under uncultured bacterium. RNAcentral describes it as "partial 16S ribosomal RNA". It matches the Rfam family "Bacterial small subunit ribosomal RNA", at positions 773 to 1060 of the family's 1533-position model. The record is from RNAcentral.
GUGGAUUAGAUACCCUAGUAGUCCACGCUGUAAACGAUGAGAGCUAGUUGUCGGCACGCAUGCGUGUCGGUGACGCAGCUAACGCAUUAAGCUCUCCGCCUGGGGAGUACGGUCGCAAGAUUAAAACUCAAAGAAAUUGACGGGGGCCCGCACAAGCGGUGGAGCAUGUGGUUUAAUUCGAAGCAACGCGCAGAACCUUACCCACGUUUGACAUGUCUAGUUUGGUCGGCAGAGAUGCCUUCCUUCAGUUCGGCUGGCUAGAACACAGGUGCUGCAUGGUCGUCGUCUACU